Molecule: long non-coding RNA, 2033 nt
Filed under: Strigops habroptila (Kakapo)
Lineage: Eukaryota; Metazoa; Chordata; Aves; Psittaciformes; Psittacidae
Description: lncRNA (ENSSHBG00005011158.1)
Source: RNAcentral
UUAUUUCUGGGAAAAACUUUAAAGUGGACAACCACAAUCACAAGGCAUACAAAGCACAAGGAACUGCAAAUAUGUAACUCUGGUAGUGCAAAGAUGAAGAAUGGCUUUUUUCCCCAAUACUUGUUGAGAGAAAAAUACUGCUGUGGAUUUGCAAUUUGAAUUCCUUUCAAAGAAAGACUUACAUUGGUAGGACUCAGUGCAGUUGCAUGUUUCAGCAAGACUAAUAUAGAGAAGGUAAAUGAAACAAAGUCAACAUAAAAUUACUACUGUGAUAUAAAUUUAUAACAACCUUUAUAACAAAAUGUCUGAAUAUACAGUACAGAGACAAGCCUCUCAAAAAAGUUCAUAUUUUCUCCAUCCAGACAAUCUGUAAGCAUGUUACCACUAAAUGACAUGCACAUAACUGAUAGCAGAUGUAACAUUCUUUGGAACUGGAUUUAAAUUUCUCUUUCAGGUGUUGCCCCAGUAUUUCAUACAGGGAACAGCAGAGGGAUAACUCCCCACUCCUCACUAGCAUUAGGAGCUCCUGGUGCAUUGUUUCUCAGGCGGGCGCCUGGGGCUGGGCAGAGACCCGCAGAGGUGCACAAGCACCUGGAGCUGGAGAAAAACUCCACCUGGGAACGUGGGUCACAAGUAGGAAGCUUUGAUAUUAGUCAGUGUAAGAGUGAGAAACUAGUGCUCGUGAAUUCCUGAGGCUCAUCAUCCCACAGCCCUGGUUUUAUUGUGUUUUAAAACAUACAAGACAGUCUCUUUGUCCAAAAAGGCCUCAUAGUUUGAAUGGCUGUAAACAUUUCUUUUAGUUUAAACCAGCAUUUUCACCAUGCCUUUGCUGUUUAAAAAAAUAACAAUCAAAAGUAGGAACACACGUUAAAACUAUUUCAAAUUCAGAAAACUAGAAUUCUUUAAUUGAGAAAUGGAAACAGAUCUGCAAACACGUGAUUAGUUCUGCAAAUAAUCUUUCUGCUGUAUUUUUAGCUGGCUCUAUCUAACUUUCAGCCUACCCUAGAGAAAAUCUAACAGUUUGAUAAGCAAGCUGCAAACCAUUUAAUAAACAGAGGUAAAUGAUCAGCACCAACUGCUGAUUUUGUCCUGCCCAAACCUAGGCCCACGGCUGCACUGCAGGGCGGCUACUGCUCCCUGUCCCAGGACAGGUCAGGAGUCUCACACUUCUCCUGUUCCCCUUGAUGUAAAAAAAGAAAAAUACAGAAGAUGUCCAUAAAAACAUGGCAGUAGCAGGUACAGGGUAAGAUUUACCCAUUAUAAUUGGCAGGGUAUGUUAUGGUUGAUCUGUGGCUGAUCUUGACUUUCAAAUGUCCCCAGGGUGACUAUUAGGUAUUAUGGUGUUGCUUUACAGGGACUGUGCUAAAAAUUUCCAGUUGCCCAGUUGGAACUGUUUAUCUGAUGAACUUUUACUGCAAUAGCAGCCAAAAUAACAGUGAUUUUACAAACCAAAUGAUUGCCUUUAUGUUAUUUUUUUUCUCUAUACUCAAGGGCUGUUGACCAGAAAUGGCUGAAAAUGACUUCCGCAGAGGAGACAAUGCAGCUCUCCUGCAACCCAAUGGAUGCUCGUUCAGCCUGACUUCAAGUAUCCAAUUUACGUGCUUGAACAAGGAGCCUGUGUACCCAGCCCAGGCUCCAGAGGAUGACUUAGAACAGAAGUGCUCUAAGGUUAUUCAACAGACAUAAGGGACUUGUCUGCUUGACCUUUGGGAUAUGAAAGCAAAACCAAAACAAAUCUAAUAGGCACAAUCACAGGAAAAUUAAUUCUAAAACAGAGAUAAAAUGAGUCAUCCUCUGGAAAUACUUCUCUUUGUUAAUGAGCAGUAGAGCACUUCUGGUACUAAGCAUGGAUUCAGAUGUCUAGCUUUCAGACAUCUGAAUUUAAAUGAGAUGACUCCUACCUCAGGCUCCCACAUUAGGAACUUAAGUUUGAUACCUGAUGUUAGACGGUACAAGUACUCUCUGUCCUUACUGAGAACAGCCACCUCUUGAAUCCAGGACAAGCUGCAAUCACAUUUACUUAGAGAAGACCC